This 490-nucleotide ribosomal RNA is filed under the name uncultured bacterium. Its description in RNAcentral is "SSU rRNA". It matches the Rfam family "Bacterial small subunit ribosomal RNA", at positions 26 to 519 of the family's 1533-position model. The record is from RNAcentral.
AGAGCGAACGCUGGCGGCGUGCUUAACACAUGCAAGUCGAGUGCGCGCCUGUAGCAAUACAGGUGGCGCACGGCGCACGGGUGCGUAACACGUGGGUAAUCUGCCCUUCGAUGGGGAAUAACCUCGCGAAAGCGAGGCUAAUUCCGCAUAACAUUCCGAUGGUUCCGAUCAAUGGACUCAAAGCCGUAAGGCGUCGGAGGAGGAGCCCGCGCACGAUUAGCUAGUUGGUGAGGUAACGGCUCACCAAGGCUUUGAUCGUUAGCUGGUCUGAGAGGAUGGCCAGCCACACUGGAACUGAGACACGGUCCAGACUCCUACGGGAGGCAGCAGUGGGGAAUCUUGCACAAUGGGCGAAAGCCUGAUGCAGCGACGCCGCGUGGGGGAUGAAGCUUUUCGGAGUGUAAACCCCUUUCGACCCGGACGAAUGCCUCGCAAGAGGACUGACGGUACGGGUAUAAGAGCCCCGGCUAACUACGUGCCAGCAGCCGUA